This is a long non-coding RNA of Tarenaya hassleriana, 309 nucleotides long. RefSeq lists it as uncharacterized. Lineage: Eukaryota; Viridiplantae; Streptophyta; Magnoliopsida; Brassicales; Cleomaceae. The transcript is spliced from 3 exons. The record is from RefSeq and is a predicted model, not a curated record.
CGAUGGUUACUCUUCAAAUCUGGCGCGAUGUGUUGAUAUUGCAGGGAAUAAAUUAACGGGUAUGAAAAGUCAUGAUUGUCAUGUCUUUAUGCAACGAUUGCUUCCAAUAGCAUUUGCAGAACUACUUCCACAACAUGUACACGAGAGUCUAUCAGGGAUCAGCUCAUUUUUUCGGGUGAUUUGCAGUCGGACGCUUAAACUUGAAGAUAUCACCAUGCUGAAACAAAACAUAGUUCUGGUGGAUGUACCCGUUUGAAAGAUUUAUGUACCAUUUGAAGAAAGAGGCAAAACAAAAAGCCUUUGUUGAAG